GACGAACGCUGGCGGCGUGCUUAACACAUGCAAGUCGAACGGAAAGGCCUCUUUCUUGUGGUACUCGAGUGGCGAACGGGUGAGUAACACGCGAGUAAAAUGCCCUUUACUUUGGGAUAACUCUAGGAAACAGGGGGUAAUACCCGGGAGAGGCUCCUGCGGCGUGGUGGGGGGGUGGAAGUUUUGGCGGGUGGGGGUGUAAUCUCGGGGUAUCUGCUUGUUUGUGGGGUGGUGGCUUACCCAGGCGUUUUCGGGUAGCCGGCCCGAGAGGGUGUACGGGCACAUUGGGGAUGAGGUAAGGCCCAGACUCCUACGGGAGGGAGCAGGGGGGAAUAUUGCACAAUGGGUGGAAGCCUGAUGCAGCAAAGCCGUGGGCGGGAUGACGGCCUUCGGGUUGUAAACCGGUUUCGGUCAUGACGGAGCUUUGUGUGACGGUAGUGGGUAAAGAAGCACCGGCUAACUACGUG
This 467-nucleotide ribosomal RNA is filed under the name uncultured bacterium. RNAcentral's name for it is "partial 16S ribosomal RNA". It matches the Rfam family "Bacterial small subunit ribosomal RNA", at positions 28 to 507 of the family's 1533-position model. The record is from RNAcentral.